RNAcentral lists this unclassified non-coding RNA (297 nucleotides) under fungal sp. RNAcentral's name for it is "partial internal transcribed spacer region". The stretch from base 1 to 46 matches the Rfam family "Eukaryotic small subunit ribosomal RNA", at positions 1786 to 1831 of the family's 1831-position model. The record is from RNAcentral. Lineage: Eukaryota; Fungi.
AAGUCGUAACAAGGUAACCGUAGGUGAACCUGCGGUUGGAUCAUUAAAGAAUUUUAAAAGGAUGUUUUACUUUAGAGUAAACUCCUUUUAGCUUUAAAUUGGGUUAGUUCUUUCUUUAUGAAAGACUAACUUCAAACCUUGUGUGCAUUGUUAACUGUCUUUGGUGAGAACGAAAAAGGAUUCAUUAGAAUUCUGGAUCACUCACCAAAAUUUAUUUUAAAACUUUGUUUAUUAAAAAGUCUUGAAUUCAAUUAAAUAAAUUGAAAACAACUUUUGACAACGGAUCUCUUGGCUCUC